Molecule: ribosomal RNA, 638 nt
Filed under: uncultured bacterium
Lineage: Bacteria
Description: bacterial SSU rRNA
Rfam family: Bacterial small subunit ribosomal RNA
Source: RNAcentral
GCUUAACCGAAGAAGUGCAUCGGAAACUGGGUGACUUGAGUGCAGAAGAGGACAGUGGAACUCCAUGUGUAGCGGUGGAAUGCGUAGAUAUAUGGAAGAACACCAGUGGCGAAGGCGGCUGUCUGGUCUGCAACUGACGCUGAGGCUCGAAAGCAUGGGUAGCGAACAGGAUUAGAUACCCUGGUAGUCCAUGCCGUAAACGAUGAGUGCUAGGUGUUGGAGGGUUUCCGCCCUUCAGUGCCGGAGCUAACGCAUUAAGCACUCCGCCUGGGGAGUACGACCGCAAGGUUGAAACUCAAAGGAAUUGACGGGGGCCCGCACAAGCGGUGGAGCAUGUGGUUUAAUUCGAAGCUACGCGAAGAACCUUACCAGGUCUUGACAUCUUGCGCUAACCUAAGAGAUUAGGCGUUCCCUUCGGGGACGCAAUGACAGGUGGUGCAUGGUCGUCGUCAGCUCGUGUCGUGAGAUGUUGGGUUAAGUCCCGCAACGAGCGCAACCCUUGUUACUAGUUGCCAGCAUUCAGUUGGGCACUCUAGUGAGACUGCCGGUGACAAACCGGAGGAAGGUGGGGAUGACGUCAGAUCAUCAUGCCCCUUAUGACCUGGGGCUACACACGUGCUACAAUGGUCGGUACAACG